RNAcentral lists this ribosomal RNA (497 nucleotides) under uncultured bacterium. Its description in RNAcentral is "partial 16S ribosomal RNA". It matches the Rfam family "Bacterial small subunit ribosomal RNA", at positions 28 to 507 of the family's 1533-position model. The record is from RNAcentral.
GAUGAACGCUGGCGGCGUGCCUAAUACAUGCAAGUCGAGCGAACAGACGAGGAGCUUGCUCCUCUGACGUUAGCGGCGGACGGGUGAGUAACACGUGGAUAACCUACCUAUAAGACUGGGAUAACUUCGGGAAACCGGAGCUAAUACCGGAUAACAUGUUGAACCGCAUGGUUCAACAGUGAAAGACGGUUUUGCUGUCACUUAUAGAUGGAUCCGCGCCGCAUUAGCUAGUUGGUAAGGUAACGGCUUACCAAGGCAACGAUGCGUAGCCGACCUGAGAGGGUGAUCGGCCACACUGGAACUGAGACACGGUCCAGACUCCUACGGGAGGCGGCAGUAGGGAAUCUUCCGCAAUGGGCGAAAGCCUGACGGAGCAACGCCGCGUGAGUGAAGAAGGUCUUCGGAUCGUAAAACUCUGUUAUUAGGGAAGAACAAAUGUGUAAGUAACUAUGCACGUCUUGACGGUACCUAAUCAGAAAGCCACGGCUAACUACGUG